GGGCCUUUAGCUCAGUUGGUUUAGAGCAGACGCCUGAUAAGCGUGAGGUCGAUGGUUCAAGUCCAUUUAGGCCCA
This 75-nucleotide transfer RNA is filed under the name Lactobacillus crispatus. Its description in RNAcentral is "tRNA-Ile". It matches the Rfam family "tRNA". Rfam says of the family: Transfer RNA (tRNA) molecules are approximately 80 nucleotides in length. Their secondary structure includes four short double-helical elements and three loops (D, anti-codon, and T loops). The record is from RNAcentral. Lineage: Bacteria; Bacillati; Bacillota; Bacilli; Lactobacillales; Lactobacillaceae.